GACGAACGCUGGCGGCGUGCUUAACACAUGCAAGUCGAACGGAAAGGCCCUGCUUUUGUGGGGUGCUCGAGUGGCGAACGGGUGAGUAACACGUGAGUAACCUGCCCUUGACUUUGGGAUAACUUCAGGAAACUGGGGCUACUACCGGAUAGGAGCUCCUGCUGCAUGGUGGGGGUUGGAAAGUUUCGGCGGUUGGGGAUGGACUCGCGGCUUAUCAGCUUGUUGGUGGGGUAGUGGCUUACCAAGGCUUUGACGGGUAGCCGGCCUGAGAGGGUGACCGGGCACAUUGGGACUGAGAUACGGACCAGACUCCUACGGGAGGCAGCAGUGGGGAAUAUUGCACAAUGGGCGGAAGCCUGAUGCAGCAACGCCGCGUUCGGGAUGACGGCCUUCGGGUUGUAAACCGCUUUCGCCUGUGACGAAGCGUGAGUGACGGUAAUGGGUAAAGAAGCACCGGCUAACUACGUG
RNAcentral lists this ribosomal RNA (468 nucleotides) under uncultured bacterium. RNAcentral's name for it is "partial 16S ribosomal RNA". It matches the Rfam family "Bacterial small subunit ribosomal RNA", at positions 28 to 507 of the family's 1533-position model. The record is from RNAcentral.